AGGGUUCGAUUCUGGCUCAGGAUGAACGCUGGCGGCGUGCUUAACACAUGCAAGUCGAACGGGAUCCAUCAGGCUUUGCUUGGUGGUGAGAGUGGCGAACGGGUGAGUAAUGCGUGACCGACCUGCCCCAUACACCGGAAUAGCUCCUGGAAACGGGUGGUAAUGCCGGAUGCUCCAGUUGAUCGCAUGGUCUUCUGGGAAAGCUUUCGCGGUAUGGGAUGGGGUCGCGUCCUAUCAGCUUGACGGCGGGGUAACGGCCCACCGUGGCUUCGACGGGUAGCCGGCCUGAGAGGGCGACCGGCCACAUUGGGACUGAGAUACGGCCCAGACUCCUACGGGAGGCAGCAGUGGGGAAUAUUGCACAAUGGGCGCAAGCCUGAUGCAGCGACGCCGCGUGAGGGAUGGAGGCCUUCGGGUUGUAAACCUCUUUUAUCGGGGAGCAAGCGUGAGUGAGUUUACCCGUUGAAUAAGCACCGGCUAACUACGUGCCAGCAGCCGCGGUAAUACGUAGGGUGCAAGCGUUAUCCGGAAUUAUUGGGCGUAAAGGGCUCGUAGGCGGUUCGUCGCGUCCGGUGUGAAAGUCCAUCGCUUAACGGUGGAUCCGCGCCGGGUACGGGCGGGCUUGAGUGCGGUAGGGGAGACUGGAAUUCCCGGUGUAACGGUGGAAUGUGUAGAUAUCGGGAAGAACACCAAUGGCGAAGGCAGGUCUCUGGGCCGUUACUGACGCUGAGGAGCGAAAGCGUGGGGAGCGAACAGGAUUAGAUACCCUGGUAGUCCACGCCGUAAACGGUGGAUGCUGGAUGUGGGGCCCGUUCCACGGGUUCCGUGUCGGAGCUAACGCGUUAAGCAUCCCGCCUGGGGAGUACGGCCGCAAGGCUAAAACUCAAAGAAAUUGACGGGGGCCCGCACAAGCGGCGGAGCAUGCGGAUUAAUUCGAUGCAACGCGAAGAACCUUACCUGGGCUUGACAUGUUCCCGACGGUCGUAGAGAUACGGCUUCCCUUCGGGGCGGGUUCACAGGUGGUGCAUGGUCGUCGUCAGCUCGU
Molecule: ribosomal RNA, 1045 nt
Filed under: human gut metagenome
Description: bacterial SSU rRNA
Rfam family: Bacterial small subunit ribosomal RNA
Source: RNAcentral